RNAcentral lists this ribosomal RNA (497 nucleotides) under uncultured bacterium. Its description in RNAcentral is "partial 16S ribosomal RNA". It matches the Rfam family "Bacterial small subunit ribosomal RNA", at positions 28 to 507 of the family's 1533-position model. The record is from RNAcentral.
GAUGAACGCUGGCGGCGUGCCUAAUACAUGCAAGUCGAGCGAACAGACGAGGAGCUUGCUCCUCUGACGUUAGCGGCGGACGGGUGAGUAACACGUGGAUAACCUACCUAUAAGACUGGGAUAACUUCGGGAAACCGGAGCUAAUACCGGAUAAUAUAUUGAACCGCAUGGUUCAAUAGUGAAAGACGGUUUUGCUGUCACUUAUAGCUGGAUCCGCGCCGCAUUAGCUAGUUGGUAAGGUAACGGCUUACCAAGGGAACCAUGCGUAGCCGACCUGAGAGGGUGGUCGGCGACACUGGAACUGAGACACGGUCCAGACUCCUACGAGAGGCAGCAGUAGGGAAUCUUCCGCAAUGGGCGAAAGCCUGACGGAGCAACGCCGCGUGAGUGAUGAAGGUCUUCGGAUCGUAAAACUCUGUUAUUAGAGAAGAACAAAUGUGUAAGUAACUAUGCACGUCUUGACGGUACCUAAUCAGAAAGCCACGGCUAACUACGUG